GGUCUUGUAGCUCAGCUGGUAGAGCAUGCACGUAUAAAGCGUAGGGCUUGGGUUCCAAUCCCACCGAGGCUA
This 72-nucleotide transfer RNA is filed under the name Echinostoma caproni. It matches the Rfam family "tRNA". Rfam says of the family: Transfer RNA (tRNA) molecules are approximately 80 nucleotides in length. The record is from Rfam by way of RNAcentral. Lineage: Eukaryota; Metazoa; Platyhelminthes; Trematoda; Plagiorchiida; Echinostomatidae.